Long non-coding RNA from Gadus macrocephalus (Pacific cod), 279 nucleotides. RefSeq lists it as uncharacterized. The transcript is spliced from 3 exons. The record is from RefSeq and is a predicted model, not a curated record. NCBI's taxonomy places the organism in Eukaryota, Metazoa, Chordata, Actinopteri, Gadiformes, Gadidae.
GGCUGGGUAGUUUGGGUCGUUACUGAAUGGUAGUUUGUACUAACUGGUAGGUUGUGUGUUACUGGUCUUACUGGUAGUUGGGGUGCGUUACUGGUGUUACUGCUCUCACUCACUGUUACUGGUAGUUACUGGUCUUACUGGUCGUUAGGGUGUGUUACUGGUAGUUACUGGUGGUACUGGUCGUUAGGGUGUGUUACUGGUAGUUACUGGUCGUUACUGGUAGUUACUGGUCUUACUGGUAGUUACUGUAGUUACUGGUAGUUACUGGUAGUUACUGGU